GGCCCGUGGCCCGGUCAUCGAUAGUGCAGGGAGAGGAGCGCCGAGAGCUUUCCCGUGUUUGGGGGCGGCCGUCCCCUCCCUCCCAAACCCUGUUGCUGUCGGACA
This 105-nucleotide small nucleolar RNA is filed under the name Chlamydotis macqueenii (Macqueen's bustard). RNAcentral's name for it is "Chlamydotis undulata macqueenii Small nucleolar RNA SNORA71". It matches the Rfam family "Small nucleolar RNA SNORA71", at positions 27 to 134 of the family's 134-position model. From Rfam's summary of the family: The members of this family belong to the H/ACA class of snoRNAs which bind a number of proteins (including dyskerin, Gar1p and Nop10p) to form snoRNP complexes. This class of snoRNAs are thought to guide the sites of modification of uridines to pseudouridines by forming direct base pairing interactions with substrate RNAs. The record is from Rfam by way of RNAcentral. Lineage: Eukaryota; Metazoa; Chordata; Aves; Otidiformes; Otididae.